Spinacia oleracea (spinach) is the source of this 878-nucleotide long non-coding RNA. RefSeq lists it as uncharacterized. The record is from RefSeq and is a predicted model, not a curated record. NCBI's taxonomy places the organism in Eukaryota, Viridiplantae, Streptophyta, Magnoliopsida, Caryophyllales, Amaranthaceae. The transcript is spliced from 3 exons.
UUGUCAUAUGUAUCAUAACCUUACAAAAAUGUCCUACUCCUAAAUUUCCCUCAAAAAACUUCCUACUCCUAAACUGAUUCUAAGUCAGAAAGCCCUCCCUCAAAAAAGAAGUCCUUACCAAAAAUUAAAAACUCUCCCCCAACCUAAACCCUCGAUCGCGAAAAAACCUCCAUCACCGAAAACCCACGAAAUACUCCAGCAAUUGAAACCCGGCCUCCAUUAGCAAAAACCUCCACCUACAAAAUACUCAAGAAAUUGAAACCCGACCUCCAUCAACAAAUUGAGGACGAAAUUUCAACGAAAGUUGCAGACACAAUUGGCACCGCACGAAGCCGUCGACGAACCCUUCCAAAACCGUCUUCGGCAGGAGCAAUGUUGUCACUGGUGUUGCGAAAGCAAUCAAGGACCAUUUUAAGAAAUAUCCUCUAGCUAUUGUCAAUGUCAAGGGGAGAGCUAAAGGGACCUCUGUUCAGGAGGUGGUUUUAAAAUUGGAAGAAGAAACAGGCGGAGUUUUGGUAUCCCAGGAGCCAAGCAAAGUUAUUCUUUACAGAGGUUGGGGUGGUGGAGUGGAAACUGGCCAUGCUUCUAAUAAGGAGAAUCAUGAUAAACGAGCUGGUAUACCUUCAUUAGCUGUUGUCUCUCCAGAGAUGUUGGCAGCAAUGAGGCUUGAAUGUGGAUUGUCAAGCAGCUAAACAGAGAAGACAGAGCUUUAGCCUAGGUUUGGUACUUUGGUGUGAUUGUGGUGGCUUAAUCUGGAUUAGCUAUUGUCAAUUACACCAUAUUUUGUACUCUUUUGAAGUGCCUCCUAGACAUCAUUGGUCAAGAAAUUUCUUGCAAGAUUUUGGAGAAAGCAAGGAUUUCUUAUCUAUUCCGUAUGA